AUUGAAACACCGGGUUUUGUCCGAUCACUGAAGUUAAGCAACGUUGAACCUGGUCAGUACUUAGAUGGGUAAACCACUGGGGAAUACCGGGUAUUGUAA
Acanthosepion pharaonis is the source of this 99-nucleotide non-coding RNA. The record is from the annotation of a GenBank genome assembly. NCBI's taxonomy places the organism in Eukaryota, Metazoa, Mollusca, Cephalopoda, Sepiida, Sepiidae.